This 1150-nucleotide ribosomal RNA is filed under the name uncultured Francisella sp. RNAcentral describes it as "bacterial SSU rRNA". It matches the Rfam family "Bacterial small subunit ribosomal RNA", at positions 149 to 1298 of the family's 1533-position model. Lineage: Bacteria; Pseudomonadati; Pseudomonadota; Gammaproteobacteria; Thiotrichales; Francisellaceae. The record is from RNAcentral.
GUUGGAAACGACUGUUAAUACCGCAUAAUAUCUGUGGAUUAAAGGUGGCUUUCGGGCUGUCGCAGAUGGAUGAGCCUGCGUUGGAUUAGCUAGUUGGUGGGGUAAGGGCCCACCAAGGCUACGAUCCAUAGCUGAUUUGAGAGGAUGAUCAGCCACAUUGGGACUGAGACACGGCCCAAACUCCUACGGGAGGCAGCAGUGGGGAAUAUUGGACAAUGGGGGCAACCCUGAUCCAGCAAUGCCAUGUGUGUGAAGAAGGCCCUAGGGUUGUAAAGCACUUUAGUUGGGGAGGAAAGCCUCAAGGUUAAUAGCCUUGGGGAGGACGUUACCCAAAGAAUAAGCACCGGCUAACUCCGUGCCAGCAGCCGCGGUAAUACGGGGGGUGCAAGCGUUAAUCGGAAUUACUGGGCGUAAAGGGUCUGUAGGUGGUUUGUUAAGUCAGAUGUGAAAGCCCAGGGCUCAACCUUGGAACUGCAUUUGAUACUGGCAAACUAGAGUACGGUAGAGGAAUGGGGAAUUUCUGGUGUAGCGGUGAAAUGCGUAGAGAUCAGAAGGAACACCAAUGGCGAAGGCAACAUUCUGGACCGAUACUGACACUGAGGGACGAAAGCGUGGGGAUCAAACAGGAUUAGAUACCCUGGUAGUCCACGCUGUAAACGAUGAGUACUAGCUGUUGGAGUCGGUGUAAAGGCUCUAGUGGCGCAGCUAACGCGAUAAGUACUCCGCCUGGGGACUACGGCCGCAAGGCUAAAACUCAAAGGAAUUGACGGGGACCCGCACAAGCGGUGGAGCAUGUGGUUUAAUUCGAUGCAACGCGAAGAACCUUACCUGGUCUUGACAUCCUGCGAACUUUCUAGAGAUAGAUUGGUGCCUUCGGGAACGCAGUGACAGGUGCUGCACGGCUGUCGUCAGCUCGUGUUGUGAAAUGUUGGGUUAAGUCCCGCAACGAGCGCAACCCCUAUUGAUAGUUACCAUCAUUAGGUUGGGUACUCUAUUGAGACUGCCGCUGACAAGGCGGAGGAAGGUGGGGACGACGUCAAGUCAUCAUGGCCCUUACGACCAGGGCUACACACGUGCUACAAUGGGUAUUACAGAGGGCUGCGAAGGUGCGAGCUGGAGCGAAACUCAAAAAGGUACUCUUAGUCCAAGG